This 468-nucleotide ribosomal RNA is filed under the name uncultured bacterium. Its description in RNAcentral is "partial 16S ribosomal RNA". It matches the Rfam family "Bacterial small subunit ribosomal RNA", at positions 28 to 507 of the family's 1533-position model. The record is from RNAcentral.
GACGAACGCUGGCGGCGUGCUUAACACAUGCAAGUCGAACGGAAAGGCCCUGCUUUUGUGGGGUGCUCGAGUGGCGAACGGGUGAGUAACACGUGAGUAACCUGCCCUUGACUUUGGGAUAACUUCAGGAAACUGGGUCUAAUACCGGAUAGGAGCUCCUGCUGCAGGGUGGGGUUGGGAAAGUUUCGGCGGUUGGGGAUGGACUCGCGGCUUAUCAGCUUGUUGGUGGGGUAGUGGCUUACCAAGGCUUUGACGGGUAGCCGGCCUGAGAGGGUGACCGGCCACAUUGGGACUGAGAUACGGCCCAGACUCCUACGGGAGGCAGCAGUGGGGAAUAUUGCACAAUGGGCGGAAGCCUGAUGCAGCAACGCCGCGUGCGGGAUGACGGCCUUCGGGUUGUAAACCGCUUUCGCCUGUGACGAAGCGUGAGUGACGGUAAUGGGUAAAGAAGCACCGGCUAACUACGUG